Molecule: unclassified non-coding RNA, 332 nt
Filed under: soil metagenome
Description: partial contains 5.8S ribosomal RNA, internal transcribed spacer 2, and large subunit ribosomal RNA
Rfam family: 5.8S ribosomal RNA (bases 1-120)
Source: RNAcentral
GAUGAAGAACGUAGCAAAAUGCGAUAAGUAAUGUGAAUUGCAGAAUUCAGUGAAUCAUCGAAUCUUUGAACGCACAUUGCGCCUGCCAGUAGUCUGGCGGGCAUGCCUGUUCGAGCGUCAUUUCAACCCUCAAGCACAGCUUGGUGUUGGGACUCGCGUUAAUUCGCGUUCCCCAAAUUGAUUGGCGGUCACGUCGAGCUUCCAUAGCGUAGUAGUAAAACCCUCGCUACUGGUAAUCGUCGCGGCCACGCCGUUAAACCCCAACUUCUGAAUGUUGACCUCGGAUCAGGUAGGAAUACCCGCUGAACUUAAGCAUAUCAAUAAGCGGAGGA